Molecule: long non-coding RNA, 772 nt
Filed under: Marmota monax (woodchuck)
Lineage: Eukaryota; Metazoa; Chordata; Mammalia; Rodentia; Sciuridae
Source: RNAcentral
UGACUUUAUUGAAAUAUAGAUCCUUAACAUUAUAUCAAGCCUUGAUUAGUCAUUUAACUGAUGUGUACAAGAAGGGUUGGAAACAGCCAGAAAUAACUCUGGCCUCUACAUAACAACCACGAAGCCCAUGGAGAUCCUGUCUAAAAUUCAGUCACCUGUUCCAGAGUUGAAAACAGAAGGACAAUCUGAAAGUUGGCACUGAUGUUCAGUAGAGAUUUCCCAUGUGCUUUAUUUUGGGGUACCAUGGACCCAAAGCUCCCUCUCCAUGUGGCCCACACACUAGGUUCUCUAGGUGCCUCAGUGGCUCACACUUAAAUCUUCCCUUUAGCAUCAGGGACACAAUUUGGGGGUUGGAGUUAAUAAAAGUCAAUUCACCAUUUCUGUCUUCUAGUGUGGGCUUGGUUAGGGGGGGUGUAGAGGGUGGUGUUCCAUGAACUUAGAAAAGCAAUAUAGACCUCUGAACACAACAGCAUAAAAGACCGCCUCUACGGCAUCUUGAAAUGCACAUGGAAAUUCUCCUCCCAGGGUUUGCUGCUAGAUGUCACUUCUUAGAUUUGGAGUGAUGUGAUGUUUUCUGAACCAGGUGUUACUUUUCUCUGCUUCAUGGAUUACUUCUCUCAUAGUUCCUAAAAACACUCAUGGCAUUCACAAAUGUUAUUAGCCUGGAGUCUUAUAUAUCUAAUGAGGGGCUCUCAAAUACACCCUUGAGUUUCUUUUCCUUCAAUGUUUUGCUUCUUUUCUUUUCUGCAUUCCAUAACCCUUCUGAGCUCCC